UGAUCGUGACCCCCGACGUUUGUAAGC
RNAcentral lists this small RNA (27 nucleotides) under Bombyx mori (domestic silkworm). RNAcentral describes it as "ovarian small RNA-32717". The record is from RNAcentral. Lineage: Eukaryota; Metazoa; Arthropoda; Insecta; Lepidoptera; Bombycidae.